GACAGAGGAUGCAAGCGUUAUCCGGAAUGAUUGGGCGUAAAGCGUCUGUAGGUGGCUUUUUAAGUCCGCCGUCAAAUCCCAGGGCUCAACCCUGGACAGGCGGUGGAAACUACCAAGCUGGAGUACGGUAGGGGCAGAGGGAAUUUCCGGUGGAGCGGUGAAAUGCGCAGAUAUUAGGAGGAACACCGGUGGCGAAGGCGGGUCUCUGGGCCGUUACUGACGCUGAGGAGCGAAAGCGUGGGGAGCGAACAGG
Molecule: ribosomal RNA, 253 nt
Filed under: uncultured bacterium
Lineage: Bacteria
Description: partial 16S ribosomal RNA
Rfam family: Bacterial small subunit ribosomal RNA
Source: RNAcentral